UCCCUGUUUAUAUGUUGUUUAAUGUAAUGCAUUUGUCAUAAUUAUAUAACAUGAAUUCCAAGACUUGCUUCAAUAGGUGUAUACGUAACAAGUGCAGUUAGUCAACUUGUCUUUUGUACUAAAAAUUUAGUGAAGUAUGUGUACGAUAGUUCGUCGUUGGAAUAUGAUUGAAUUUAAAUUAUUUUUCAACAGAAAUGUAAUUAAUUAAAUAACUACAUUACAUGCGCACAAUUUUUAGUAACUGUUUAACUGUUUAUUCCCCCCCCCCCGAGGUUUAUUCAAAAUACACUCAGCCGGAC
This 299-nucleotide long non-coding RNA is filed under the name Mytilus galloprovincialis (Mediterranean mussel). Lineage: Eukaryota; Metazoa; Mollusca; Bivalvia; Mytilida; Mytilidae. The record is from RNAcentral.